Molecule: ribosomal RNA, 988 nt
Filed under: Salmonella enterica subsp. enterica
Lineage: Bacteria; Pseudomonadati; Pseudomonadota; Gammaproteobacteria; Enterobacterales; Enterobacteriaceae
Description: partial 23S ribosomal RNA
Rfam family: Bacterial large subunit ribosomal RNA
Source: RNAcentral
UGACAGCCCCGUACACAAAAGCGCAUGUGCUGUGAGCUCGAUGAGUAGGGCGGGACACGUGGUAUCCUGUCUGAAUAUGGGGGGACCAUCCUCCAAGGCUAAAUACUCCUGACUGACCGAUAGUGAACCAGUACCGUGAGGGAAAGGCGAAAAGAACCCCGGCGAGGGGAGUGAAAAAGAACCUGAAACCGUGUACGUACAAGCAGUGGGAGCACAGGUUUACCUGUGUGACUGCGUACCUUUUGUAUAAUGGGUCAGCGACUUAUAUUCUGUAGCAAGGUUAACCGAAUAGGGGAGCCGGAGGGAAACCGAGUCUUAAUUGGGCGUUAAGUUGCAGGGUAUAGACCCGAAACCCGGUGAUCUAGCCAUGGGCAGGUUGAAGGUUGGGUAACACUAACUGGAGGACCGAACCGACUAAUGUUGAAAAAUUAGCGGAUGACCUGUGGCUGGGGGUGAAAGGCCAAUCAAACCGGGAGAUAGCUGGUUCUCCCCGAAAGCUAUUUAGGUAGCGCCUCGUGAAUUCAUCUCCGGGGGUAGAGCACUGUUUCGGCUAGGGGGCCAUCCCGGCUUACCAACCCGAUGCAAACUGCGAAUACCGGAGAAUGUUAUCACGGGAGACACACGGCGGGUGCUAACGUCCGUCGUGAAGAGGGAAACAACCCAGACCGCCAGCUAAGGUCCCAAAGUCAUGGUUAAGUGGGAAACGAUGUGGGAAGGCCCAGACAGCCAGGAUGUUGGCUUAGAAGCAGCCAUCAUUUAAAGAAAGCGUAAUAGCUCACUGGUCGAGUCGGCCUGCGCGGAAGAUGUAACGGGGCUAAACCAUGCACCGAAGCUGCGGCAGCGAACGUAUCACCCAAGACAACUUUACGGAGUUGACGAUUGACGGAGCGAAGCGACGUCAAAGCGUUCAUUAAAGUCGAGUUGGCUUAGGGAUACGUUCGUUGGGUAGGGGAGCGUUCUGUAAGCCUGUGAAGGUGUGUCGUGAGGC